UCUCCUCUUUCUCUUCCAAAACGGUUUCUCCUCUUCUUUCAAAACCGGCACAUUCUCUUCACUCACCAUUCUCUUCAAUGAACGACUGUUUGUUUUCCCAUUUUCAAAACGAUUCAAUCUAUCUUCAUUUACCAUUCUCUUCAUCUCCAUUCAACUUUCGCAACCGCCCACAUCCACCUCUGCCUACUCCGCUCUAGAUCAAAACCUGCGUCGCCUGCAACUGCUGAUUGAUAAGGGGUGGGAAAGAUUUUGUUUCAUUGAAAUCAAAUUUGUUGACGAAAACCUAACUUUAUAUCCGAUGGAGGUGGGGUUGUGGCUUUUGCUUCAACAUGGAUGAAUCUAACUCAAUGUAUGUCUCUGCACGAUUUUAUAGAGUAUAAGAUAUUGGUAGUUAUUAAGUGAUUUUGUUUUGUUUAGGUAUGGUUUAUUGUUCUUUAAAUUUACAAAGAUGAAAUUGAUAAACCCUAAUCCCUAAUUUUUCAUUGUUUUCAAUGUCUCCGCUUCCUUUCUGAUUUAUGUUUUCAGAUGGCAAUGAACUAAGUAUGGAGCAAUCCACCAUAAAAGGAUAGAAAGAUGUUUAAUGUUGGAUCUGUUUAUUUCAUUUCAUCAUUCUUUUACAAAACUACUGACCUGCCAAUUUUUUUAGUUAUUAGAAUUUUGGUCUUCAGUUAAUUGUCCACUAUGGAUUUACUUUUCGUAUGAAGGUAAGUAUCAAUAGAUGCUGAUUAAAAACGUACAUCAGAGGCUUUGGAGAGAAGAGAAUAAAAGAUUCUUGAUGCUUCCAGCAAUGAACCAUGGGGUCCUCAUGGAACGCUUCUUGCAGACAUUGCUCAGGCAACCAGAAACCCAUAAGCUUUGGCCUCUCAAUUUUAUGCUAGAGUGGAAAUCAAAGUCAAAGGAUUGUGAAAAGGAAAUCCAUGAAUGGAAGAAGAAAAAUUCUGCAGCCACUACAAACUUAUCCUAACUGAAUUGUCAGAUAAGCUCAAAGGAGGCACAGAUUGAGCAGAUGUUUGGGCAAAAGCAUGAGAUAAACGAGAAGUGUGAACUAGAGCAGAUUAGCCUUCCAACCAUAUCAGAUCCUAUGGAUACUGAUAGCUCAACACCGGGUCCAGUUUAUGACUUUGAUCAACUCAGCAGGCCAAAAAAAGAUAGGAAACCCUCUGGCAGGGAUAAAAUAGAGAUAAAUUGGCGUGGACAACAUAUGAAAAAUUUCUUAGGGAAAUGUUGAUGGUAAGAAAUGCAAUAACAAGGGUGUGGCUGAAGCAAUUUUAGGAACUUUAGGUCUUUCUGAUAUAGGACAAGUUUUUCCCGUUAAUGAUCCUAAGUGGAAGGGUUGUGACUCUUCUGUGUUCGUCCAUGAAUCUAUGAGUAAUAUUCUAUUUCUAUGUAUAUAUA
This is a long non-coding RNA of Vicia villosa (hairy vetch), 1395 nucleotides long. RefSeq lists it as uncharacterized. The transcript is spliced from 6 exons. Lineage: Eukaryota; Viridiplantae; Streptophyta; Magnoliopsida; Fabales; Fabaceae. The record is from RefSeq and is a predicted model, not a curated record.